This is an RNA transcript of Dermacentor silvarum, 1167 nucleotides long. It is a transcript of the gene named calmodulin-beta, with no coding region annotated. The transcript has 3 exons. The record is from RefSeq and is a predicted model, not a curated record. NCBI's taxonomy places the organism in Eukaryota, Metazoa, Arthropoda, Arachnida, Ixodida, Ixodidae.
UCUUAUUUCCCUAGUCGAUAAGUUAUCGUACUUGUAAGUCAUAUUGUCGCGUCGACCUGCCAGGCGAAAUGUUUAGCCUUUUGUCUCAGGAAAGGCCUCGGACUACAGGCGCUGACGCUGUACCGACAGGCUCAAUUUCAGACCCAUUUUGCUGUUAGGUUUUUUCGCGCGCUUGUGUACAAGUUAUCAGCAACGAACGUACAGUACAUUGCCAUGCUACGUAAGUUUAUCGUAUUGUUGUAUCUUUUGGGUACCGCGACAUUGAGUGAACUAGCACGUAGUCCUAUCUACACCAUCCUGAGAAAACACAUGUCACGUUGUCCGCCAAGCCCGAGAGCACGUGCUUGCGCGCGGUACCACGUGAUCAGUAGUACAAAACAACUAUGCACCAGGAGGCGGGCGUUGUCCCGUUUGCGUCGACAGGCGAGGCGUUACUUCGGCCACACUUCGGCUUGGGUGCUGUAGGCUGUACUCAACUGCACCGCGCGAUGGGAGAACAAGAGGAUUUGUCGACCGCCGACUCAGGCUACAGCGACGACGCCGAGCUGCGCGAGGUGUUUGUCUUGCUUGACCGCGACUGCGACCUGGAGCUGAGCUUCGACGAGCUGAAGACGGCGGUGCGGGCGCUGGGCCUUGCCGUGAGCGAGGCCGAGAUGGAGGAAGUGCGCGAGGAGCUCGAGGCGUGCGCGGGCCGCACGACCGUCGACUACAUGGGCUUCCUGUCGGUGCUGGCCAAGCUCGAGUUCGGACACCUACGGCUACCGGAACGCAGUAGCGCACAGGAGCGAGAGACGCGUAGGGCGCUUGAGAUACUCGACCCCAGUGCCACCGGCCUGGUGAGUGUCCGCGACGUGCGCUGGCUGCUGACGGCCAUCGGAGAGAAACUGACCGUCGAGGAAGUCAACCAGGUCCUGGGCGAGCUGGGAUGCGGCGGCGAAGACGACGACCGCGUGCCCUACAAGGAACUAGUCGACAUGCUCUUCAGGGACAGCUGAGCGAAGCGCACCAUUGCGAAGCCCGCUAUGGCUACGAUGGCCUCUGCUCUUUAGUUGAUGGAGUCUAUGGUGUACAGUCGCAAGCUUUGACUGUAAACACGGCAGCGAUGAGCCGAUUUCUAUUCCAUGGCAUCCGUUUGAAACAUGGCGGAGACAAAUAAGGCAGCUUGCU